CGACAUCCUUUAGUGCUGCAGGAGAGAGGGGGCACGAGGAUUAAACAAAACAGCCCCAACUGCAAAAGGGCAGCGAGGAAAUGUCAGAGUUGCCUUGAUUGUCCUUCCUGAGGGCUCCCAAGCACCUUGCUGGAAGGAGGCAGUCCUUCUGCCAGAUACAGGCUCCCCAGACAGCAGACCCAGCCAAAAACCUGUUUGCUCACCGCUGCGGCGAUGUCACCGCCAGGACCUGUAAGUGGGAGUGACAGCGCAGGGGGUUCUGCUCGGAUCGCUUUCCUGCAGCCUGUGUGUCCGAAUGCACAAGAGCUGGCCCCAUCCCAGAGACGCUCCUGGUGUAUGGAGGGAGCAGCAAACACACUGUCAUUGGGCAGGCAGGACAACACCUGGACAAUCCCUGCACCCCACAGAGGCUUCCCAACACAGCUGGGCAAGGAGGAAGGAUGGGGUCAGCCAUCACUUCAAGCAAGAAGCAGCAGGACUCAUCCACCCUCAGGCUGCCCUGCAUCAUCUUGGAGAUGAGACCCCAGCGCCCCACCAGCCCAAGCUUCACACAGUGCAGCAAGCCAAAACCAGAUUGAUUUCUGCCAUCCCUGAGGACUGCCUGAUGACUGUGGCUGCUCUCACCACCGUGUUGGUCUUCCAUCCCCACUAAGAGGCCAAACCUGAGGAGGGUCUUGUUUUUAUUAACAUGUUUUACAUCUUUUCUAACCUCUCUGCCAGCUGGACGGCCGUGCUUCCAGGGCAAUUACAUGCAUCAUCUAAACAUCAUCUGAAAUGAAGGGACUUCAUUUAAUUAGGUUAUUUAAAUGACACGUUUGAUGGGAAAAGCCAAGCGGGCUUAGCAAAACGUUUAACGAUCACGUUAGCUUGCAUGCAUACAGAACAUUAUCUGAAAUUAAUGGCAAGACUUCUGUUGGCUCCGGAGGCUGCAGACCAGAUGUGGGCAGAGGGUGACAUGGGGAGCAGCCACUGGAGCCGACCUGGGAGCAUGGGCACCAUCCUGUGGGCUCUUACCACUGCUCUGUGGGUUUCCUCCCCCUCUACAAACAGCACUUCUGCAAUUUUCACCUAUUUGUGUUAUUAUUUUUCCCUCCUGCUAUUCCCUCUGUGCAGAAAACAAGUCCAAAAGAGGCUUUUAAAAGGGCAAAUUCCUUCCCUUCAGCAAAACCAAACCUGAAAGCAUGUCUCCGUGUUGAAAAAGAAGAAAUCUGGUAUUUCGUACCAAAACAAACAGCAAUUUAGUUCAAUUCUUUCAACUCCUUCCUUGCAAAUCCAAAAAGCCCAAACCAAAGGGCAUGUUUUUCUAACAACUUGUUUGCAAAGUGUGACAGAAAAUAUUUCCCAUUUCCUCAGCCUUUAAGAAGCUCUGCAGGUACAAAAGGCAGAACAUGCCCAGCUGGGCAUCUGCUGAUGGAAGGCACAACCCAAGGAGUCACACUGAUGAGCACAGCAUUAAAAAUAGCUUUGCCCAGACAAGCUGCAUGUAACCUUGUCAGAUGCUAUGCAAUAAAAUUCUGG
Molecule: long non-coding RNA, 1518 nt
Organism: Gallus gallus (chicken)
Lineage: Eukaryota; Metazoa; Chordata; Aves; Galliformes; Phasianidae
Source: Ensembl